RNAcentral lists this ribosomal RNA (434 nucleotides) under uncultured bacterium. RNAcentral describes it as "partial 16S ribosomal RNA". It matches the Rfam family "Bacterial small subunit ribosomal RNA", at positions 27 to 507 of the family's 1533-position model. The record is from RNAcentral.
GAACGAACGCUGGCGGCAUGCCUAACACAUGCAAGUCGAACGAGACCUUUGGGUCUAGUGGCGCACGGGUGCGUAACGCGUGGGAAUCUGCCCUUGGGUUCGGAAUAACAGUGAGAAAUUGCUGCUAAUACCGGAUGAUGUCUUCGGACCAAAGAUUUAUCGCCCAGGGAUGAGCCCGCGUAGGAUUAGCUAGUUGGUGGGGUAAUGGCCUACCAAGGCGACGAUCCUUAGCUGGUCUGAGAGGAUGAUCAGCCACACUGGGACUGAGACACGGCCCAGACUCCUACGGGAGGCAGCAGUGGGGAAUAUUGGACAAUGGGCGCAAGCCUGAUCCAGCAAUGCCGCGUGAGUGAUGAAGGCCUUAGGGUUGUAAAGCUCUUUUACCAGGGAUGAUAAUGACAGUACCUGGAGAAUAAGCUCCGGCUAACUCCGUG